ACAGGGUUUCACCAUGUUGGCCACGAUGGUCCCCAACUCCUGUCCUUUUGUGAUUCGCCCGCCUCAGCCUCCCAAACUGCUGGGAUUACCGGAGUUUAUAUUAAUUCUAUCUCUCUUAAUUUUUACUCCCAUAGUACACAAGUUUCCCAUGACAAUACUUUUGAAAACCCUAUUAACAAUAAAGUUGGACGUAAAAUUAGGUCUAUAUGCAACUCUACUGUCUAAUCUUGAAACACGUCCUAAGAGACUUAAGGUACCAAAAUACUAACAAUGAUUACAAGUAGACUUGUAGAUUUUCCACAGCAUUAUUUUCUGAAAAAAGAAAUUUUAGGCCUUAUAUUAAGAGAUUCAAGAAAUUUGUUUCCAUUUUAAAAUUUUUUGGAUGGGUUAAUUGAUCAUGUGGCCACGUUAUCUCUAUAAAUGUUUAAAAUCAGUGUACUGUAUUUCCACAUUUAGUAACACUUUUCUUGAAAACCUUGCUUUGAGAUCAGCCCUAAAACUUGUUUUGCAAGUAUUCACUUCUGUGAUGCUCCUGCAAUAAUCCUUAUGUGCUCGCAGUCAAUGAGUUUUUACUCUCAUUAACUUGAUGAAUAAACGCAUAGACCCUCACGGAAACUGUUAACAGUUCUUAAACACAGUGCAGAGUUUCUUCUUUCUGGUAGCUUCCUGAUCUCGCCGGCUCAGAAAUCAACUGGCAGACCUUCCCGGAGACCGUUAGAGGUCUUAGGUCAGCAUCUCUUAAGUUAGCCGUUCCUGCCAGUGGGUUCAGUGGGUUUGUGGUCUGACUGCCUUCAGAAAUAAAGCUACAAGUCUCCACAGUGAGUAUUACCACUCAUUAAGACAAUUCAGACCCAAACACCAGCUAAUGCAAAAAAUAAAAGAACAAAACACCCACACAAGCAAAAGAAAGCCAAGCGGGUCUCCAUCGCCAGCUCUAGCAGCCUGCUUUUAUUCUCUCAUCUGGCCCCACCCACAACCUGCUGAUUGGUCCAUUUUACAGAGAGCCCAUUGGUCUGUUUUACGGAGAGCUGAUUGGUCUGAUUUGACAGGGUGCUGAUUGGUGUGUUUACAAACCUUGAGCUAGAUACAGAGUGCCGAUUGGUGUAUUUACAAUCCCUUAGCUAGACAUAAAGGUUCUCCAAGUCCCCACCAGACUCAGAAACCCAGUUGGCUUCUCCCAUUAAUUUCUGAACUGGGGCUGCAGUAUAGAGUUGCUUGCUAG
RNAcentral lists this long non-coding RNA (1222 nucleotides) under Homo sapiens (human). Its description in RNAcentral is "non-protein coding lnc-WRNIP1-4:2". Lineage: Eukaryota; Metazoa; Chordata; Mammalia; Primates; Hominidae. The record is from RNAcentral.